This 253-nucleotide ribosomal RNA is filed under the name uncultured bacterium. RNAcentral's name for it is "partial 16S ribosomal RNA". It matches the Rfam family "Bacterial small subunit ribosomal RNA", at positions 524 to 776 of the family's 1533-position model. The record is from RNAcentral.
UACGGAGGGUGCGAGCGUUGUCCGGAAUCAUUGGGCGUAAAGGGCGCGUAGGUGGCGGGACAAGCGUGCGGUGAAAGCUUGGGGCUCAACCCCGAGUCGGCCGUGCGAACUGUUUUGCUUGAGCACUGUAGAGGCAGGCGGAAUUCCGGGUGUAGCGGUGGAAUGCGUAGAGAUCCGGAGGAACACCAGUGGCGAAGGCGACACGCUGGGCCGUACCUGACGCUAAAGCGCGACAGCAUGGGGAGCAAACGGG